RNAcentral lists this ribosomal RNA (1473 nucleotides) under uncultured Bordetella sp. RNAcentral describes it as "partial 16S-23S ribosomal RNA intergenic spacer". It matches the Rfam family "Bacterial small subunit ribosomal RNA". The record is from RNAcentral. Lineage: Bacteria; Pseudomonadati; Pseudomonadota; Betaproteobacteria; Burkholderiales; Alcaligenaceae.
UUCGAUCCUGGCUCAGAUUGAACGCGCUGGCAAGGAUGUCACUUUACACAUACCAGUCAGACGGCAACACGGACUUCGGUCGGUGGCGAGUGGCGAACGGGUGAAGGUAAUGUAUCGGGCGUGCUAGUAACAAGGGGAUAACCGCGCGAGCGUAGCCAUAAUACCCGCAUACGCCCUUCGAGGAAAGCGGGGGCCUUCCGGGCCUCGCACUAUUAGAGGCGGCCGUAUCAGUUAGCUAGUUGGUGGGAAGUAACAGCUCGCAAGGCACGAUCCGUAAGCUGGUUUGAAGGACGACCAGCCACACUGGGACUGGGUUACGGCCCAGACUCUACAGGAGGCAGCGGUAGGGUACGGACAAUGGGGAAACCUGAUUCCAACCAUCCCGCGUGUGCGAUGAAGGCACCUUCAGGUUGUAAAGCACUUUUGGCAGGAAAGAAACGGCACGGGAUAAUACCCCGUGCAACUGACAGUACCUGCAGAAUAAGCACCGGCUAACUACGUUCAGCAGCCGCGGUAAUGACAGUGCAAGCGUUAAUCGGAAUUACUGGGCGUAAGCGUGCGCAGGCGGUUCGGAAAAGAUGUGAAAUCCGCAGAAACGCUGGAACUGCAUUUUGAACUACCGAGCUAGAGUGUGUCAGAGAGGUGGAAUUCCGCGUGUAGCAGUGAAAUGCGUAGAUAUGCGGAGGAACACCGAUGGCGACAACCUCUGGGAUAACACUGACGCUCAUGCACGAAAGCGUGGGGAGCAAACGGGAUUAGAUACCCACGACAUUCCACGCCUAAACGAUGUCAACUGGCUAUUUAGAGCCUUCCGGGCCUUGGUAACAGCUAACACGUAAGUUGACCGCCUGGGAGAUACAGUCGCAAGGUUAAAACUCAAAGGGACAUGACGGGGACCCGCACAAGCGGUGGAUGAUGUGGAUUAAUUCGAUACAACGCGAAAAACCUUACCUACCGCUUGACAUGUCUGGAAUCCCGAAGAGAUUUUGAAGGAGUGCUCGCCGAAACCGGAACACAGGCUGCAUAACAAUGGUCAAGCUCGUGUCGGCGAGAUGUUGGGUUAAAUUCCCGCAACGAGCGCAACCCUUGUCAUUAGAUUGCUACAGAAAGGGCACUCUAAUGGAACUGCGGCAGUGACAAACCGGAGGAAGGUGGGGACUGACGUCAAGUCCUCAUGGCCCUUAUGUAGGUAGGGCUUCACAUGUCAUACAAUGGUCGGGACAGAGGGUCGCUGGAGGUAACCCGCGAGGGCGGACAGAGAAGCCGAUCGUAGUCCGGAUCGCAGUCGACUCGACUGGCGAAGUCGGGAAUCGCGCUAGUAAUCGAGGAUAACAUUCGCGGUGAAUACGUUCCCAGGUCUUGUACACACCGCCCGUCACACCAUGGGAGUGGGUUUCCACCAAAAGUAGUUAGCCUAACCGUAAGGCAGAUUACGGUAGGAUUCAUGACUGGGGUGAAGUCGUAACAAGGUAA